RNAcentral lists this long non-coding RNA (802 nucleotides) under Medicago truncatula (barrel medic). RNAcentral's name for it is "lncRNA gene49295". Lineage: Eukaryota; Viridiplantae; Streptophyta; Magnoliopsida; Fabales; Fabaceae. The record is from RNAcentral.
AAUGGGGUCGUGCAAACUUAUAUACAAGGGGGAAUUAGAAAAUAAGGAAACUAAAUCUAUCCCAAUAAAUAGAGAAUAAUCAACGCCUAUGAUCAUUACACAAUCACUUUUACAUUUUUUCUGCUUGUAUUAUGUUUAUUUUUUUCACCGCAGAACCAAACACACGUUCAUGAUCAUCAAAACAAGUGAUGAAGACGGAUAGGAAUUCCCUCUGUUGGUAUAGGUAUCAUAGCACCAGAUACUUCCUCAUCAGGAAGCAUAACUUCCCAUUUGAACUUUGUUACAAGAUUGUGAAUGAAAGUGAGAAUCGCAAGCCGUGUGUAAUCCUUUCCAGGACAAGAUCUUGGUCCUGAUCCAAAGGGUAUAUAAGUGUAUGGUGCAAGAACAUUAUUCCCUUCAAACCUAGAUGGAUCAAAACUUUCAGGUUUAUCAAAGUACUUGGGAUUCUUAUUUGUUCCAAUAAAUGCCCAGAAUAUCUGUUAAAGUACAAGUUCACAAAUGAUUUAGUAACAAUUUAAGUUACAUGUUACUACUUUUUAAUGAAUAUAGGCAAUAUCUUAAUAUAUUAUGAUGAAUUCAAUUUGAAGGUACCUUCCAUCCCUUUGGAAUGGUAAAGCCUUCAUAGGUGAAAUCUGUUUUAGCCUCUCUGAAUGCUCCUGGUGCAGGAGAGUAUAGUCUCAUGCUCUCCAAUGCAACAGCCCAUGUAUAUUUUAGCUUCUGUAUGCUAUCCCAAUCUAGUUGUGAUGUACCACUUUCUUUUGAGGAUCUUUUAAUAUCAGCAUGCUCUGAUUCAAUAUAUACA